CAUGUCAUCAAAUCCGGGCCCUGUUAAUCACACUAAAAAAAAUAAAUAAGAAAUUUAUUUUUUAGGGUAACAUAAUUUUCGCAGCCCCUUAAACCCAAUAUCACUUUGAAUAGAAGCGUUUUCAAGUUAGAAAUGUAUAAGCAUUACAAUGAAUACAAGUAUCAACAUGAAGAGUGUACUUGGCUGAGCUAUGUCAACAGAAUUGACGAAGACAGAUUCACUAGGACUAUAAGGGAUAUGAAAUCUGAGAGUACUAUAGAAAACUGUCAACACAAUUCUAACUUUGAAGUUACACAUGUCUGAAUGAACAGAUAUAUAAGUUGUGUUCUUGCUGUAGAUACUUUUUAUCAAAUCUGUCAGCUUCAAACGGCUAUUUCGUCCUGUGUCAACAGAGACAGCCUGCAUUCUCAGCUCCUGUUUGAGGUUUUGUGUUGAGAAGGAUGGCAGCACUUCCACGUCAAACAAUGCAGGAUCUACACAUGGGUCGCAUGGACCAUGUAGCUUGUUCGGCGUGUCACCUCUGCCCUAGUCUUCCAGUAAUGGCGGUCCAGUUUGUGAGCAUCACUGUGGGAACGAUCUAACAAACACAUGUGCAGCACUAAGCUUUCCACAACUUUACAUUCCUUCAUAGUUUCAUACACAAGAAUUGGAAAAGCAGUAUACACAAACACAUAUCCAGAAGCUGAAAUCUGUAUUGCACAAAACAGUAUCAGUGCUUGCCUCUCCAGAAAGUUAAAAAGAAAGGAAAAGUUACAGGCCAUCUGCGUGUGAUGUUGAGUU
Molecule: long non-coding RNA, 780 nt
Organism: Cryptotermes secundus
Lineage: Eukaryota; Metazoa; Arthropoda; Insecta; Blattodea; Kalotermitidae
Exons: 3
Source: RefSeq, a predicted model, not a curated record